Long non-coding RNA from Cyprinus carpio (common carp), 4562 nucleotides. NCBI's taxonomy places the organism in Eukaryota, Metazoa, Chordata, Actinopteri, Cypriniformes, Cyprinidae. The record is from Ensembl.
ACAAGAAGUUAAUAUUUAGCAGCUUAUGUUUAGUCACAAUAUUUUCAGUUGACCUUUCUUUCUUUCUUUCUUUCUUUUCUUUCUUCUUUUUUAGAAAAUUCAAAACAAUGUCCAAGCAGAAUCAAGCAGAGCAUCCCUGAGCAACACACAAUCAUUUUUUGAAUGACUUGGUUGAGUAAAUUCAUAAUUCAGUGACUCAUAAAGCCAGUCACUUGUUGCCACCUACUGGUGUAAUGAUGUGACAUGCAGAAAGAGUCACUGUAAAAUUCCCACCACUGACACACAGUUCCCUUUCGAAAGCUUCAGUCGAUGCUGCGCUGCUCAGCGCAUUGGGAAACGUCUUGUUUGUGACCAGCUGUGAAUAAUGUGUGUAACACGUCGAUAGAAUUAACCCGGCGGUAAUAUAGCCUCAGUUGAUGACGUCAUCUGAGCGCGCCCGCAACACGGGGCUAUAAAUAGAUAAGCCACAGGUGCAUCAACAGGUCUUUUGUCUUCAGAUCAUUCUGUGCAUGUGUGUGUCAGGAAGAUUCUUUUCGUACGAUGACCCAACGAAACAGUAAGUGUUGUGUUCCUCCAUGCUCUCGUCCUAUGUAUGAGCUGGAUACGCAUGAUUACUGUUUUGUUUGUUUGGGGGAAGAACACGCGGUUCUGGCUUUAGAGACGGGCGAGUGCGAGCAUUGUGAACUGCUCUCAAUGAAGAUGCUUCGUGCUCGUCUGAACUAUUUUCAGACCGCACCCACCUUUUCGUCGGAGGGCUCUCGUGCGGGUCUGCGUGACGAGCGAGCGACGGGCCCGUCCCUUUCGCUUACAGUGUCACCAGAUCCACGCAUCCUCUCUCGUGAUCUCGAAGCUGUGCCCUCGAUGUUGACUUUUUCAACUAUCGUGGAUGCAAAGUCGCGGGGGUAUUCGGAGAUGCCUCGGGUUGAAGAGUCGCUUGCGAGCUAUCUCUCGCCUGAAUCUGCAUCCACGGUGAAGAAACCUACUCUCCCCACUAAACCUUGUAGAAUUACAUCAUCGCUAGUGGGUAAAGCUUACCAAGCUGCAGGUCAGGCUGGUGCUGCGUUGCACACUAUGGCAGUGUUACAGGCAUACCAGGCUGACCUGUUGAAGGACUUGAGUGUGGGCAGUACAAUCGACGAGGAAGCAUUCGCUGAGCUUCGUCGGGCCACAGAUUUGUCUCUCCGGGCGACCAAGCAGAAGGCUUUUAGACUCUCCUAUCUCUCCAUCUGGCCUGUUUGGCGAUUCGGUUAAUACGGUCGUCGACAGGUUUAGGGAAGUAAAGAAACAUGAAGAAGCGUUCGUUCAGUUUCUUCCUCGCCGCACUCAAUGGGAGUGGCCAUCAGCCACCCAGCCUCGCCCCGGUCCUUCAAAAACCAGGGAGGUUAAAAAGCAGAGCGUGGCAGACCGUGCUCCCCCUCGUAGGGAUUGGGGACAGGUUCGCCGUGCUCAGCAACCUCCCAAGCCAGACCUCAGGACUUUCAUUAAUAAUAAGAAGAAGUCCUGACGCUAUGGCGCCCGUGCUGGUGGGGGUAGUCCCUCAUGGGGUGGUGCGCGCUCGAGAGCUUUUCGCCCCGCCCCGUUACCCUCACAAAACCCCUCCAUCCCCGCCGCUUCUUGUGCCUCGGGAGGCGGGGGUUUCCAGCAAGAUAUUAGAUGUUCCAGUGCUUCCUGCCGUCAUUCAGGACACGGAACAUCUAACAUCCCCUCAAAAGGAAGUAUUGAAAUUGGUACCACUCUCAGAGAGUCUGGCAGCGUGGAAACUUCUGCAUUUCUGCAUGGGUGUUGAGCACAGUACGGAUAGGAUACAGGAUCCAAUUUAUUCGUCAUCCUCCACGUUUCAACGGCGUGGUCUCCACUUCCGUGAAACCGGAGCUGAUGCAGGUACUGUCUCAAGAGCUACAAACUCUUCUGGGCAAAGAGGCCAUAGAACAUGUUCCUCUUCCACAGAGAGAGUCGGGCUAUUACAGCAGAUACUUCCUAGUUCCCAAAAAGGGUGGGGGAGUGCGUCCAAUCUUGGAUCUUCGAGGCUUAAACCGUACAAUCAGAGCACUCAAGUUCAAGAUGUUAACCGUCAAGACGGUCGUGUCGCAAAUUCGGCAUCGCGAUUGGUUUAUCACGAUCGAUCUGAAGGACGCAUAUUUUCAUAUAGAGAUUUUGCCACAACACAGGAAAUUCCUGAGGUUCGCUUUCGGGGGCGAAGCAUACCAGUUUCGGGUUCUUCCUUUCGGCCUAGCCUUAUCACCCCGCACGUACACAAAAUGCAUGGAUGCAGCGCUGGCUCCAUUACGACUCCAGGGCAUUCGCAUUUUGAAUUAUAUCGACGAUUGGCUGAUACUAGCGCAAUCGCGAGAGAUGGCGCUACAACACAGGGACAUCGUGUUAGCUCAUCUAGUUUCUCUGGGGUUGAGACUCAACACCGAGAAGAGUGUUCUCUGUCCGACUCAGAGAACGACUUAUCUCGGGAUCGUUUGGGAUUCGAUCACGAUGCGGGCACAACUGUCUCCCGCUCGGAUCGAGACCAUUCAGCAGACCAUGAGCAAGGUCAGGCUAGGCCAGGAUCGCACUGUUCGUCAGUAUCAAAAGAUGUUAGGUUUCAUGGCUUCAGCAUCCACGGUGAUUCCUUUGGGGCUGUUGCACAUGAGACCGUUUCAGUUGUGGCUAAAAGCCAGAGGAUUUCAUCCGAGAGCCAAUCCUCAAAGGCAAAUAAAAGUGACGCGCCGCGGGCUUCGUACACUAUCUCUGUGGAUCAGACCCCGGUUCCUUGCCUUGGGUCCCACUCUAGGGGCACCGUGUCGUCGCAGACUGCUAACGACAGAUGCCUCCCUGUUGGGCUGGGGAGCAGUUUUGGAUGGCCACCCAGCUCAAGGGGAAUGGGGGGGUCGUCAGCUCGAUUGGCACAUCAAUUGCCUCGAGCUGAUGGCCGUAUUUCUGGCUCUGAAAUAUUUCCUCCAUCAUUUGAGAGACUGUCAUGUUCUAGUACGGGUGGACAACACAGCAACAGUCUCAUAUAUAAAUCACCAGGGGGGUCUGCGCUCACGCAAUCUGAACAAGAUAGCGAGGCAGAUUUUUCUUUGGGCCCAGGACAAGCUCCUGUCACUCAGGGCAGUUUACAUUCCGGGGCGUUUGAAUGUGGGAGCGGAUUUACUGUCCAGACAGACACUUCCGACAGGGGAAUGGAAACUCCACCCAGAGGUAGUGGAACAGAUUUGGGAAAAAUUUUACGAAGCAGAGGUGGACCUCUUCGCCUCCCUUCAGACAGCGCAAUGUCCCCUCUACUUCUCUCUGAGUCACCCAGCCCCCCUGGGUCUGGAUGCGAUGGCACACACAUGGCCCAGAAUGCGCCUGUAUGCAUUUCCUCCAGUUUCUCUGCUCCCGGGAGUCCUAGCCAGAGUUCGCCAACAAGGGUCUUGCCUCUUGCUGAUAGCGCCACGUUGGCCGAACAGGGUAUGGUUCUCGGAGAUAAUAUCUCUCCUCGACGGCUCGCCUUGGGCGAUUCCGGAGAGGAGGGACCUUCUGUCUCAGGCAGGGGGUACGAUAUUCCAUCCCAGGCCCGACCUGUGGAAUCUUCAUGUUUGGCCCCUGAAGGGUACCAGCUGAGGAACACAGGGCUGUCGCCGGGUGUUAUUGAUACCAUCCUUAGUGCUAGGGCUUCCUCCACCAGACGGAGUUAUGCCAGUAAAUGGGGUGUCUUUGACAGGUGGUGUGUGGUACACAAUGUAGAUCCGGUCAACUGCCAUAUUGCUUCAGUUCUGGACUUCAUGCAAGAGAAGUUGUCAACAGGCACAUGCCCUGCUACUCUUAAGGUUUAUGUGGCCGCUCUUUCGGCUUGCCACGCCUUGAUUGACGGGGUGCCACUCGGGAGACACCCUCUGCUCUCUCGCUUUCUUCGUGGGGCCAGACGACUGAGGCCUACAGUAAAGACCAAGAUGCCUUCUUGGGACUUAGCUAUAGUUCUCGAGGGUCUGGUUGAAACCCCCUUUGAACCUUUAGAGUCAGCGUCUGAUAGACUUCUAACUCUAAAAAUGGUUUUUCUCAUGGCAAUAACUUCUUUGAAGAGGAUUGGGGAUAUGCAGGCUCUGUCUAUCUCACCAUCAUGCUUAGACUUUGCCCCAGGGAGCGUGAAAGUGAUUCUGCAUCCUCAUCCUGAUUACCUGCCUAAGGUUCCGUUUUCGGCUGUACAUCCGGUCAUUCUAGAGGCCUUCUGUCCUCCGCCGUUCGCAACGCCGGAGCAGGAGAAAUCUUAUAGACUGUGUCCAGUCCGUGCUCUUCAGACUUACGUCCACCGCACUAGCCAGUGGCGUAAGUCGGAGCAACUGUUCGUCUGUUAUGGUGGUGGUAACAGAGGAGCAGCUGCCACCAGGCAGACCAUGUCUCACUGGGUCAGGGAUGCUAUUGCUUUGGCUUAUGAGGCGCGCGGUCAAGCUUCGCCUAUAGGUCUUAGAGCUCACUCCACAAGGGGGUCGCCUCCUCUAGUGCUUUAGCAAGGGGUGCCCCCUUACAACAGGUUUGUGAUGCGGCAGUUUGGUCCUCUCCGCACACAUUCAUAAGAUUUUAUAUUUUGG